This 475-nucleotide ribosomal RNA is filed under the name uncultured bacterium. RNAcentral's name for it is "bacterial SSU rRNA". It matches the Rfam family "Bacterial small subunit ribosomal RNA", at positions 328 to 793 of the family's 1533-position model. The record is from RNAcentral.
CUCUGUGACUCCUACGGGAGGCAGCAGUGGGGAAUAUUGCACAAUGGGGGGAAACCCUGAUGCAGCCAUGCCGCGUGUGUGAAGAAGGCCUUCGGGUUGUAAAGCACUUUCAGUAGGGAGGAAGGUAGUGUAGUUAACACCUGCAUUAUUUGACGUUACCUACAGAAGAAGCACCGGCUAACUCCGUGCCAGCAGCCGCGGUAAUACGGAGGGUGCGAGCGUUAAUCGGAAUUACUGGGCGUAAAGCGCAUGCAGGCGGCCUGUUAAGUCAGAUGUGAAAGCCCCGGGGCUUAACCUCGGAAUUGCAUUUGAAACUGGCAGGCUAGAGUCUUGUAGAGGGGGUAGAAUUUCAGGUGUAGCGGUGAAAUGCGUAGAGAUCUGAAGGAAUACCAGUGGCGAAGGCGGCCCCCUGGACAAAGACUGACGCUCAGAUGCGAAAGCGUGGGGAGCAAACACGGAUUAGAUACCCUGGUAG